This 21-nucleotide small nuclear RNA is filed under the name Arabidopsis thaliana (thale cress). RNAcentral's name for it is "snRNA_08313". The record is from RNAcentral. Lineage: Eukaryota; Viridiplantae; Streptophyta; Magnoliopsida; Brassicales; Brassicaceae.
CUAUUGCCGCUGUCGCAGCGU